This is a long non-coding RNA of Loxodonta africana (African savanna elephant), 2248 nucleotides long. RefSeq lists it as uncharacterized. NCBI's taxonomy places the organism in Eukaryota, Metazoa, Chordata, Mammalia, Proboscidea, Elephantidae. The transcript is spliced from 5 exons. The record is from RefSeq and is a predicted model, not a curated record.
GGGAUGGGUGGGGGUAAUGGGGAAACUGGGGAAACUGGGGAAGCGGGGGAGCCGAGGGGUAACCAGGGAAGCGUGGAGUACUCGGGGGCAACCAGGGGAAGAUGUGGGCAGGAGGUCAGGGAAGUCUGUGGGCCAAGGAUCACCUUGGAAGCCUGGAGUCUGGCAGGAAAGAUGAAGAGGGGCUAGCUCAGGCAGCACUUGGCCAGCCCAGCGGCUGGAGCACAUGUGGUCUCCAGGGUAACAUCAGGGCUGGGAGUGCCAGGGCGCCUGAGCUAGGGUUAGACAGCAGAAGGGGGAGCCAGACAUUCAUCCCGGUCAUUUUUGGUUACAGGACGUGGCGGCUGGUUGGACAAAGGGGAGCUGGUUGAGGGUCCAAGUCCGGGCCUGGGGUGUGGAGGUGGUGCCUGCCGGGCCAGCGGGCUCUUCUCUCUCUGGUCCUCGGUCCACUGGUCUUCUGGAAGAAGGAGGACGAGGGUGCCGAGGGCCGGCGAGAGGACGUGGCCAGCCUCCCGGUAGAGCAGCGGGCAAGGCCAGGUGGUAGCACAGGUGACAUCUUCUCGGGGGGAGCCGAGAGGGGCAGGCUGGGGGGCUAGGUGGCCGCCCCAGGUGGAAAGGGUACUUUAGAGGGCAGGAUGGGCUGCAGCCCCCAGGGAGGUGACAGGUGCCCUGGGGAUGGCAGUGCAGCAAGAAGCAGGGAUCCAGCAAGUGCGGGAGCAGGCGGGCCCGGGCUGGACAGUAGAAAGGGGACGAAGGGCACAGCGGGGUCCCCAGCCGUCACAGCAUCUCACCCACUGCAUUCACUCAAGUGGCAGGAUCAGGAGUGGCUCUGUGGUGGGCAAGGCCUGCUCAGAGCAUCUGAGGGCAGGAGAGCGAGACAGAGGGCGCAGUGCGCAGGGACACCUGCAAAAUGGCACCACCGGGAGGGAGGGUCGCCUGGGUGCUGGGCUCCAGCACACCCGGCCAAUGCUCUCCACGCGGCACUGCGGCCCAGGGGCUGGUGCGGGAAGGGCCCACAGUGUGCUUGGUGACACUGUAUGCCUUAACCGCCCAGUCCCUGGGGCUGGCAUGAAGACAGUGCAGUUCCAGGGGAGUCAAGGGCACGAGCGAGGCCAGGCUAGGUGAGGCGGGCGGGGCGGAGUGAUUGUGAGCUCUCGGGGGAGGGGGCGUAGAGCAUGGCAGGGCAGGAGCAGAGCUGGCGGGCACAGCGGGCACGGCCUGCGCGCCAGGGCCAAGGCGGGCCUUGGCAGGGACAGAGCAAGACCGGCCGCCGUGUGUAGACUGGAGACGAGGCCAGGUCUCCAGCGGGUGGACACAACAGCCAGCCACCAUGGAAGGCCAGGCCCCACGUCCGGCAGAUGUGCUGAGAAGGACAUGACAUGGUCCGGUGUGACGACGAGUAAAGGAAGUAUGGUCUGGCCUUCCUGGCAGGACAUUCUCGGCUGGCACCAUGGGGCGUGCUGCAACACCAGGUUCCUUUACUUUCCGGAAGGAGUCAACACUCUACUGCUGCUCUCUGGACCCCAGAACCCUCAAAAUGACAAGAAAUGGUGCUACCCAGCUCAUGUCUGGGCCUGGAACCCGGGGACUUCAAGUCCGUCUAGCUCUGACUCGAGAAUAUGCUGCAUUCGGGAACCAGUACUUCACACGGACUCAGGAACAGGCUCUGAAAGGUUAACAGGAAGGAACCCAUCGACCACCACCAUCGACCACCAGCAUCAAUGGGAGCAGCACCACACCGCCACCCCACCCACCAGCAACUCCAUCUUCAUGGCCACACCCUGCCGUGCUCAGGCGACCACCAGCCUCCGUCCUCCCGGCUGGUGCUCCUCCAGCCGGGAUGACCCAUCACCCCCCUCCUCCUUUUCCUUCUUUCUCUGCCUCUUCUCAUUUCCCUUCUUUCUUCUCUUUCCUUGCGCAGGGGACUCAGCCUCCCUGACUCUGCUUCCCCAACCCCAAAUCAUUUGCACUAAGUCGUUUGCACUGGUCUGGAGUCCUGGACGCCGAGUCUCCUGUGCGUGUGUGAGGGCCACGCGUGUGUCGCCAUGGGCGCCCCCGGCCGCCUAUCAUUCAUCUCAGGGGGCGCCUGGGCAGUGUGUCAGGGGUCCCGCCCUCCCCUCCCUAGUCUGGAAGCUCCACAAGAUCAGGAGCAAAUCCUAUAUGUUCCAUUGUACUCGCUCGCUCGUGUCCCUCCCCAUGAGUCGGGCUUCACCAGAAGCCCGGCUCUUCAAUAAACACAGUUACAGCAGCA